This 423-nucleotide long non-coding RNA is filed under the name Triticum aestivum (bread wheat). RNAcentral's name for it is "long non-coding RNA (TAES_LNC015703)". The record is from RNAcentral. Lineage: Eukaryota; Viridiplantae; Streptophyta; Magnoliopsida; Poales; Poaceae.
UUGUAUUUUUACAAUGCCAAAGCUAGCAAAUAGUACAAGAUUCACCCAACAAGGGGCUAAUUACAUAGAGCAGCUGCACUAAUACAACGGUCAGAUCGGUAACUAGUAGCUAGUAGCCGUGGUUACCAACACACAUACACAUAUAUUUAUAAAAAGGUAAUGUACAAGUUCAUGUACAGUAACGCUACAAGUUCAAAAAGAAACCUGAGAUAAUCCUCACAUAUUAGUUUUUCUGUAAAAAAAGAAAAACCGAUUAGACAUACGGUCAAUGAGUAGUUUUCGUUCAAACUUGGCCACCUAAAUCCAUCAGCAAUUGAGCCAACCCACCUAAAUCCAGCAGCAAUUGAGCCAACCGGGAAGGAGCCACCAUUGAAGUACUUGGGGGAUGAAGAAACAGAAUCAUCUGGAUUCCAUGUGUAAAUC